GAUCAUGGCUCAGGACGAACGCUGGCGGCGUGCCUAACACAUGCAAGUCGAACGGAACUUUUUUAAAAGAUUUCUUCGGAAUGAAUUUGAUUAAGUUUAGUGGCGGACGGGUGAGUAACGCGUGAGUAACCUGCCUCUGAGAGGGGGAACUAACAUUCUGAAAAGAAUGCUAAUACCGCAUAACAUAUAUUUAUCGCAUGGUAGAUAUAUCAAAGAUUUAUCGCUUAGAGAUGGACUCGCGUCCGA
RNAcentral lists this ribosomal RNA (246 nucleotides) under uncultured bacterium. RNAcentral describes it as "partial 16S ribosomal RNA". It matches the Rfam family "Bacterial small subunit ribosomal RNA", at positions 15 to 240 of the family's 1533-position model. The record is from RNAcentral.